CCUACGGGGGGCUGCAGUAGGGAAUAUUGCGCAAUGGAGGAAACUCUGACGCAGCGACGCCGCGUGGGUGAUGAAGGUCUUCGGAUCGUAAAGCCCUGUUGCAGGGGAAUAAGAAAGUGAAUGUACUCUGCGAGAAAGGAUCGGCUAACUUCGUGCCAGCAGCCGCGGUAAGACGAGGGAUCCUAGCGUUGUUCGGAAUUAUUGGGCGUAAAGCGGGUGUAGGUGGCUCUAUAAGUCGGAUGUGAAAGCCUGGGGCUUAACUCCAGAAGUGCAUC
RNAcentral lists this ribosomal RNA (275 nucleotides) under uncultured Bdellovibrio sp. RNAcentral's name for it is "partial 16S ribosomal RNA". It matches the Rfam family "Bacterial small subunit ribosomal RNA", at positions 338 to 627 of the family's 1533-position model. Lineage: Bacteria; Pseudomonadati; Bdellovibrionota; Bdellovibrionia; Bdellovibrionales; Pseudobdellovibrionaceae. The record is from RNAcentral.